CUGGGUCGGGCGGUGGAGUUGGCAUAACCUCUUCGCCACGGUCAGGGCUUGCGACUGCGCAGCAAACGUCCUUCUCCUCCAGAAUGUUCAUGACGACCUCCCGGAGCAGUGGCGGGUCGUCAUGCUCCUCCAUGUGGAUCCGGACUCUUGAUGGCACAAUCUGAAUCCCUAUAGCGGCGGUUGGUUUUGACACUGCAAGGAUGGUGGUUGAAGGAGUGGGGCAACGGAAACGUAGUGGCUCGGGGAAGAUUUGGCGGUUGGUGUGGGCGGCGCUGGUGCACUUCUUCAGAUUCGUCGGAUGAAGAAGCCGGUGAUGGAGGCCGAUGGGUGGUGCGGGGUAGAUCCCUGGCUGAUGCAGCACAACGUCGUCGGGGGAGACGACAUGCGGUUCUCUGAAGCGGCAGUGGCCGCAUGGUGCUCCCUCUGUCUUCGGUGCACUGGAUUGUUUCAGAAAACACAUGCGUGUGGUGUUGUAUUCUUAUCCUUUUUUCUGUUCUUUUUAGAAGUCUUGCACUCUCCUUAUCCUCGUGGUAGAACCCCACCUUCCGGUGUCCACCGCCGCUAAAUUUUCACUGCGAUUUUUACAAGCUGCCUCAUGUCGAAGUUAGAUUGUUCCUUUCUUCUUCUUGCGUUUUAUUUUGUCUUGGCCUCGUGGAUGGAGAUUCAAGUUUCCUGUUCAGAUUUCUCAAUUCUUUGCAUGAGGUCAUUAUAGUUUGAGAUACGCUGUUGUACUUGGACAAUGCAUAUAGAAUUAUUCCACGUGUUGA
Hordeum vulgare subsp. vulgare (domesticated barley) is the source of this 767-nucleotide long non-coding RNA. RefSeq lists it as uncharacterized. Lineage: Eukaryota; Viridiplantae; Streptophyta; Magnoliopsida; Poales; Poaceae. The transcript is spliced from 2 exons. The record is from RefSeq and is a predicted model, not a curated record.